This 379-nucleotide ribosomal RNA is filed under the name uncultured eukaryote. RNAcentral's name for it is "partial 18S ribosomal RNA". It matches the Rfam family "Eukaryotic small subunit ribosomal RNA", at positions 592 to 975 of the family's 1831-position model. The record is from RNAcentral.
CAAUAGCGUAUAUUAAAGUUGUUGCAGUUAGAACGCUCGUAGUCGGAUUUCGGGGCGGGCCGACCGGUCUGCCGAUGGGUAUGCACUGGUCGGCGCGUCCUUCCUUCCGGAGACCGUCCCUACUCUUAACUGAGCGGGGGCGGGAGACGGGACUUUUACUUUGAAAAAAUCAGAGUGUUUCAAGCAGGCAGCUCGCUCUUGCAUGGAUUAGCAUGGGAUAAUGAAAUAGGACUUUGGUGCUAUUUUGUUGGUUUCGAACACCGAAGUAAUGAUUAAAAGGGACAGUCAGGGGCACUCGUAUUCCGCCGAGAGAGGUGAAAUUCUCAGACCAGCGGAAGACGAACCACUGCGAAAGCAUUUGCCAGGGAUGUUUNCACUG